GAUGAAGAACGCGGCGAAAUGCGAUAAGUAAUGUGAAUUGCAGAAUUCAGUGAAUCAUCGAAUCUUUGAACGCACAUUGCCCCCGCCAGUAUUCUGGCGGGCAUGCCUGUUCAAGCGUCAUUUCAACCCUCAAGACCCCUUCGGGGGACUUGGUGUUGGGGACCGGCACAGGGGCCUGCCUGCUUGUCUUGCAGCGCCCUCGCCGCCCCCGAAAUGAAUUGGCGGCCUCGUCGCGGCCUCCCCUGCGUAGUAGCACAACCUCGCAACGGGAACGUGACGGCGGCCACUGCCGUAAAACAACCCCAAUUUUAUUAGAGUUGACCUCGAAUCAGGUAGGAAUACCCGCUGAACUUAAGCAUAUCAAUAAGCGGAGGA
Molecule: unclassified non-coding RNA, 375 nt
Filed under: soil metagenome
Description: partial contains 5.8S ribosomal RNA, internal transcribed spacer 2, and large subunit ribosomal RNA
Rfam family: 5.8S ribosomal RNA (bases 1-120)
Source: RNAcentral